CCGGGCACUCUAACGGGACUGCCCGCGAAAGCGGGAGGAAGGAGGGGACGACGUCUGGUCAGCAUGGCCCUUACGGCCUGGGCGACACACGUGCUACAAUGCCCACUACAAAGCGAUGCCACCCGGCAACGGGGAGCUAAUCGCAAAAAGGUGGGCCCAGUUCGGAUUGGGGUCUGCAACCCGACCCCAUGAAGCCGGAAUCGCUAGUAAUCGCGGAUCAGCCAUGCCGCGGUGAAUACGUUCCCGGGCCUU
Molecule: ribosomal RNA, 252 nt
Filed under: uncultured Thermus sp.
Lineage: Bacteria; Thermotogati; Deinococcota; Deinococci; Thermales; Thermaceae
Description: partial 16S ribosomal RNA
Rfam family: Bacterial small subunit ribosomal RNA
Source: RNAcentral